This 904-nucleotide ribosomal RNA is filed under the name uncultured archaeon. Its description in RNAcentral is "bacterial SSU rRNA". It matches the Rfam family "Archaeal small subunit ribosomal RNA", at positions 21 to 903 of the family's 1478-position model. The record is from RNAcentral.
CCCCACUGCUAUCGGGAUGAGACUAAAACAUGCAAGUUGUGCGUCCUAAGCUAUGUUAGGGCGCAGCGUACGGCUCAGUAACACGUGGCUAACCUACCCUUAGGACGGGAACAACCCCGGGAAACUGGGGCUAAUUCCCGAUAGGUGAGGAGGCCUGGAAUGGUUUCUCGCUUAAAGGGUGUCAGGACCAUGCUUCCUAACAUUGCCUAAGGAUGGGGCCGCGUCCGAUCAGGUUGUUGGCGAGGUAAUGGCUCACCAAGCCAUUGACCGGUACGGGCCAUGAGAGUGGUAGCCCGGAGAUGGGCACUGAGACAAGGGCCCAGGCCCUACGGGGCGCAGCAGUUGCGAAACCUCCGCAAUGCGCGAAAGCGUGACGGGGUUACCCCGAGUGCCGUCCGCUGAGGAUGGCUUUUCUCCAGUGUAAUGAGCUGGAGGAAUAAGGGGAGGGCAAGACUGGUGUCAGCCGCCGCGGUAAUACCAGCUCCCCAAGUGGUGGGGAUGAUUAUUGGGCUUAAAGCGUUCGUAGCCGGCCUGACAAGUCUUUCGUUAAAUCCAGUGACUUAAUCGCUGGGCUGCGGGAGAUACUAUUAGGCUAGGGGGCGGGAGAGGUCGACGGUAUUCUCGGGGUAGGGGUGAAAUCCUAUAAUCCUGAGAGGACCACCAGUGGCGAAGGCGGUCGACUAGAACGCGCUCGACGGUGAUGGACGAAAGCUGGGGGAGCGAACCGGAUUAGAUACCCGGGUAGUCCCAGCCGUAAACGAUGCGGGCUAGGUGUUGGAGCGGAUACGAACCGCUUCAGUGCCGCAAGGAAACCGUUAAGCCCGCCGCCUGGGAAGUACGGUCGCAAGGCUGAAACUUAAAGGAAUUGGCGGGGGAGCACUACAAGGCGUGAAGCUUGCGGUUC